This 253-nucleotide ribosomal RNA is filed under the name uncultured bacterium. Its description in RNAcentral is "partial 16S ribosomal RNA". It matches the Rfam family "Bacterial small subunit ribosomal RNA", at positions 524 to 776 of the family's 1533-position model. The record is from RNAcentral.
UACGUAGGGGGCAAGCGUUGUCCGGAUUCAUUGGGCGUAAAGAGCGUGUAGGCGGCCAGGUAGGUCGGUUGUGAAAACUGGAGGCUCAACCUUCAGAGGUCGACCGAAACCAUCUGGCUAGAGUCCGGGAGAGGAGAGUGGAAUUCCACGUGUAGCAGUGAAAUGCGUAGAGAUGUGGAGGAACACCGAUGGCGAAGGCAGCCCCCUGGGUCAACACUGACGCUCAUGCACGAAAGCGUGGGGAGCAAACAGG